Long non-coding RNA from Sander lucioperca (pikeperch), 324 nucleotides. RefSeq lists it as uncharacterized. The transcript is spliced from 3 exons. The record is from RefSeq and is a predicted model, not a curated record. Lineage: Eukaryota; Metazoa; Chordata; Actinopteri; Perciformes; Percidae.
CCAACAGUCACCUGAGCUAAACAGAGCUUGUUUUGAUAUACAUUUUUAUUUUGUCUGUAGUAAUUUACGUAAUUACUGGAAAUGUUACAAACUAAAGGUACGUAAUAGUUCAGAAGUUUUACAAGUUUUUUAGCAACACAUGUCCUAUCUUGCCAUGAACCUGCAUUAUCUAUACGGUAAAUACAAAUGACUGUGGUGUUCCCAUUGCUUACACCACCAUUACUUUGUGAAAAACAGUAAGUGUGCAGUUUUACUAUAGUAAAGGAAGUGUUUUUACACAUUUUUUAUAACUGUGUAUGUAACCACAGACAUCUUACGUGGACA